GAUGAACGCUGGCGGCGUGCCUAAUACAUGCAAGUCGAGCGAACGGACGAGAAGCUUGCUUCUCUGAGGUUAGCGGCGGACGGGUGAGUAACACGUGGAUAACCUACCUAUAAGACUGGGAUAACUUCGGGAAACCGGAGCUAAUACCGGAUAAUAUUUUGAACCGCAUGGUUCAAAAGUGAAAGACGGUCUUGCUGUCACUUAUAGAUGGAUCCGCGCUUCAUUAGCUAGUUGGUAAGGUAACGGCUUACCAAGGCAACGAUGCAUAGCCGACCUGAGAGGGUGAUCGGCCACACUGGAACGGAGACCCGGUCCAGACUCCUACGGGAGGCAGCAGUAGGGAAUCUUCCGCAAUGGGCGAAAGCCUGACGGAGCAACGCCGCGUGAGUGAUGAAGGUCUUCGGAUCGUAAAACUCUGUUAUUAGGGAAGAACAUAUGUGUAAGUAACUGUGCACAUCUUGACGGUACCUAAUCAGAAAGCCACGGCUAACUACGUG
RNAcentral lists this ribosomal RNA (497 nucleotides) under uncultured bacterium. Its description in RNAcentral is "partial 16S ribosomal RNA". It matches the Rfam family "Bacterial small subunit ribosomal RNA", at positions 28 to 507 of the family's 1533-position model. The record is from RNAcentral.